Molecule: ribosomal RNA, 253 nt
Filed under: uncultured bacterium
Lineage: Bacteria
Description: partial 16S ribosomal RNA
Rfam family: Bacterial small subunit ribosomal RNA
Source: RNAcentral
UACGGAGGGGGCGAGCGUUAUUCGGAAUUAUUGGGCGUAAAGGGCGCGUAGGCGGCUGUACAAGUCAAAGGUGAAAUCCCUCGGCUCAACUGAGGAACUGCCUUUGAAACUGUACGGCUUGAGGCCGGGAGGGGGUAGCGGAAUUCCUAGUGUAGCGGUGAAAUGCGUAGAUACUGGGAGGAACACCAGUGGCGAAGGCGGCUACCUGGACCGGUUCUGACGCUGAGGCGCGAAAGCGUGGGUAGCAAACAGG